Molecule: microRNA precursor, 124 nt
Filed under: Hordeum vulgare
Lineage: Eukaryota; Viridiplantae; Streptophyta; Magnoliopsida; Poales; Poaceae
Description: microRNA MIR1122
Rfam family: MIR1120/MIR1122 microRNA precursor family
Source: RNAcentral
AUUAUACUCCCUCCCUGAGAAAUUACUUGUCGUAGGAGUGGAUGCAUUUAGACUUUUUUAGUUCUAGAUACAUUCAUUUCUAUGCAUUUUUGUGACAAGUAAUUUUGGACGGAGGGAGUAUGAA